AAUCCGCUCUUUAAUCUGAAGACGUGAUGUGGACUGAAAAUAAGUAGGGAAGCACGUGAGCUGACUGUCAAGAAAAGCCGCUAUUGUUUGCAGGAUACCCGUACCGUAAACCGACACAGGUGGAUGAGGAGAGAAUCCUACGCCGACGGGAGAAGCAUUGUUAAGGAACUCGGCAAAAUGACUCCGUAACUUCGGGAGAAGGAGUGCCAGUAAGAUGGCCGCAGAGAAUUGGCCCAAGCAACUGUUUAGCAAAAACACAGGUCUAUGCAAAACCGAAAGGUGAGGUAUAUGGGCUGACGCCUGCCCGGUGCUGGAAGGUUAAGGGGAGAGGUUGGCGCAAGCGAAGCUUUGAACUUAAGCCCCAGUAAACGGCGGCCGUAACAAUAACGGUCCUAAGGUAGCGAAAUUCCUUGUCGGGUAAGUUCCGACCCGCACGAAAGGCGUAAUGAUUUGGGCACUGUCUCAACAAUGCACCCGGUGAAAUUGAAAUACCAGUGAAGAUGCUGGUUACCUGCGCCAGGACGGAAAGACCCCAUGGAGCUUUACUCCAGCUUGAUACUGGGAUUCGGUAUUGCAUGUACAGGAUAGGUGGGAGGCUAGGAAAUGGUAACGCCAGUUGCCAUGGAGCCAAUGUUGGGAUACCACCCUUGCAGUACUGGGUUUCUAACCAGCAGCCGUGAUCCGGCUGGGGGACAAUGUCAGGUGGGGAGUUUGACUGGGGCGGUCGCCUCCGAAAGGGUAUCGGAGGCGCUCAAAGGUUCCCUCAGAAUGGUUGGAAACCAUUCGAGAAGUGCAAAGGCAGAAGGGAGCUUGACUGCGACACCGACGGGUGGAGCAGGUACGAAAGUAGGACUUAGUGAUCCGGUGGUACAAAGUGGGAUUGCCAUCGCUCAACGGAUAAAAGCUACCCUGGGAUAACAGGCUUAUCACUCCCAAGAGUUCACAUCGACGGAGUGGUUUGGCACCUCGAUGUCGGCUCAUCGCAUCCUGGGGCUGAAUUAGGUCCCAAGGGUUGGGCUGUUCGCCCAUUAAAGCGGUACGCGAGCUGGGUACAGAACGUCGUGAGACAGUUCGGUCCCUAUCCGGCGUGGGCGUAAGAUAUUUGAGAGGAGCUGUCCUUAGUACGAGAGGACCGGGAUGGACUGGCCGCUGGUGUAUCUGUUGUCUUACCAAAGGCAUAGCAGAGUAGCCAAGCCGGGAAGGGAUAAACGCUGAAGGCAUCUAAGCGUGAAGCCCCCCUCAAGAUGAGAUAUCUCAUAACGUCAAGUUAGUAAGACCCCUUGAAGACGACGAGGUAGAUAGGGCAGAGGUGGAAGUGUGGUAACACAUGGAGCUGACUGUUACUAAUAGGUCGAGGGCAUAACCU
Molecule: ribosomal RNA, 1366 nt
Filed under: metagenome
Description: bacterial LSU rRNA
Rfam family: Bacterial large subunit ribosomal RNA
Source: RNAcentral